UACGUAUGGAGCAAGCGUUAUCCGGAUUUACUGGGUGUAAAGGGUGCGUAGGUGGCCGUGAAAGUCUGAUGUGAAAUACCGGGGCUUAACCCCGGGGCUGCAUUGGAAACUUCAUGGCUGGAGACCGGGAGGGGCAGGCGGAAUUCCUAGUGUAGCGGUGAAAUGCGUAGAUAUUAGGAAGAACACCGGUGGCGAAGGCGGCCUGCUGGACCGGAUCUGACACUGAGGCACGAAAGCGUGGGGAG
RNAcentral lists this ribosomal RNA (245 nucleotides) under uncultured Lachnospiraceae bacterium. Its description in RNAcentral is "partial 16S ribosomal RNA". It matches the Rfam family "Bacterial small subunit ribosomal RNA", at positions 524 to 768 of the family's 1533-position model. Lineage: Bacteria; Bacillati; Bacillota; Clostridia; Lachnospirales; Lachnospiraceae. The record is from RNAcentral.